This 74-nucleotide transfer RNA is filed under the name Pseudomonas phage vB_PpuM-Amme-3. RNAcentral's name for it is "tRNA-Pro". It matches the Rfam family "tRNA". Rfam says of the family: Transfer RNA (tRNA) molecules are approximately 80 nucleotides in length. Lineage: Duplodnaviria; Heunggongvirae; Uroviricota; Caudoviricetes; Vandenendeviridae. RNAcentral also lists the same sequence under 5 other names. The record is from RNAcentral.
CUCCCCGAAGCGUUACGGUAGCGUACCUUGUUUGGAACGAGGUGGCCGUGGUUCGACUCCACGCGGGGUGACCA